CUUCCUUGAGAUACAAUUGCUAGGGGACGUGUGAGACACACUGAGACAUGCAUCGAAAGAGAGUGACCAACCGAGAGUGGAGUCACAGUGUGGGUUGUGGUGAAGAUAUUGUAAUACAGCGGCCAUUACAGAUCUAGGGGGGAGUAGGGAAGAAGCAGAGGAGCAGCUUUUAGGGAAUAGGUGACCCACAUCACGAGGCUCAGGCUUAGUUUCCCUCGAGCCCUGUGUUUCUGAGUAGUAGGAGGAGUAGCUA
RNAcentral lists this long non-coding RNA (253 nucleotides) under Populus tremula. RNAcentral describes it as "long non-coding RNA (PTRE_LNC000198)". Lineage: Eukaryota; Viridiplantae; Streptophyta; Magnoliopsida; Malpighiales; Salicaceae. The record is from RNAcentral.